UAACCUGCCCAUCAGAGGGGGAUAACAUUCGGAAACGGAUGCUAAAACCGCAUAGGUCUUCGAACCGCAUGGUUUGAGGAGGAAAAGAGGCGCAAGCUUCUGCUGAUGGAUGGACCCGCGGUGCAUUAGCUAGUUGGUGAGGUAACGGCUCACCAAGGCCGUGAUGCAUAGCCGACCUGAGAGGGUGAUCGGCCACAUUGGGACUGAGACACGGCCCAA
RNAcentral lists this ribosomal RNA (219 nucleotides) under uncultured bacterium. Its description in RNAcentral is "partial 16S ribosomal RNA". It matches the Rfam family "Bacterial small subunit ribosomal RNA", at positions 122 to 334 of the family's 1533-position model. The record is from RNAcentral.